Molecule: ribosomal RNA, 264 nt
Filed under: uncultured bacterium
Lineage: Bacteria
Description: partial 16S ribosomal RNA
Rfam family: Bacterial small subunit ribosomal RNA
Source: RNAcentral
UACGUAGGGUGCAAGCGUUAAUCGGAAUUACUGGGCGUAAAGCGUGCGCAGGCGGUUUUGUAAGUCUGUCGUGAAAUCCCCCGGGCUCAACCUGGGAAUUGCGAUGGAGACUGCAAGGCUAGAAUCUGGCAGAGGGGGGUAGAAUUCCACGUGUGAGCAGUGAAAUGCGUAGAGAUGUGGAGGAAUACCGAUGGCGAAGGCAGCCCCCUGGGUCAAUACUGACGCUCCAUGCACGAAAGCGUGGGGAGCAAACAGGAUUAGAGU